UCCCUGGUAGUCCAGUGGCUAAGAUUCUGUGCUGUCAGCACAGGGAGUCUGGGUUCAAUCCCUGGCCGGAGAA
This 73-nucleotide transfer RNA is filed under the name Bos taurus (domestic cattle). It matches the Rfam family "tRNA". Rfam says of the family: Transfer RNA (tRNA) molecules are approximately 80 nucleotides in length. Their secondary structure includes four short double-helical elements and three loops (D, anti-codon, and T loops). Lineage: Eukaryota; Metazoa; Chordata; Mammalia; Artiodactyla; Bovidae. RNAcentral also lists the same sequence under 3 other names. The record is from Rfam by way of RNAcentral.